Molecule: ribosomal RNA, 445 nt
Filed under: Myxococcus xanthus
Lineage: Bacteria; Pseudomonadati; Myxococcota; Myxococcia; Myxococcales; Myxococcaceae
Description: bacterial SSU rRNA
Rfam family: Bacterial small subunit ribosomal RNA
Source: RNAcentral
GAGCGGCGCACGGGUGCGUAACACGUGGAUAAUCUGCCUGAGUGCUCGGGAUAACCAGUCGAAAGAUUGGCUAAUACCGGAUAAGCCCACGGUUUCUUCGGAGACUGAGGGAAAAGGUGGCCUCUGUAUACAAGCUAUCACAUUCAGAUGAGUCCGCGGCCCAUCAGCUAGUUGGCGGGGUAAUGGCCCACCAAGGCAACGACGGGUAGCUGGUCUGAGAGGACGAUCAGCCACACUGGAACUGAGACACGGUCCAGACUCCUACGGGAGGCAGCAGUGGGGAAUUUUGCGCAAUGGGCGAAAGCCUGACGCAGCAACGCCGCGUGUGUGAUGAAGGUCUUUGGAUUGUAAAGCACUUUCGACCGGGAAGAAAACCCGUUGGCUAACAUCCAACGGCUUGACGGUACCGGGAGAAGAAGCACCGGCUAACUCUGUGCCAGCCGCG